GCUCUCUAGGUUAUUCAAGGACACCGAAAAGCCAACACCAUGGUAGCAUUAAUGAAAGUUUACCAAGAGGAAGAUGAAGCCUACCAGGAAUUAGUUACCGUGGCAACCACGUUCUUCCAGUACUUACUGCAGCCAUUUAGGGCUAUGCGAGAAGUUGCAACUUUAUAAGUCCUUGGAUGAGGAUGACCUAGGUCCUAGAAGGGUAGUUGCCCUGGAGAAAGAAGCUGAAGAAUGGACCAGACGGGCUGGAGAAGCUGUCGUCUCUAUUCAAGAUAUCACAGUGAAUUAUUUUAAGGAGACAGUAAAAGCAUUAGCAGGAGUUUCUGAUAUAUUGCACAGAAUCAACAAGAUAUAAAGCAGAAUGAUGAUCCUGGUUUUUUGGUCAAACUAUCCAUAUGAGCCUGUCUGUCUAGCUAGUCAUAGAAACAAUAUGGAAGCAAGUGUGCCAAAAUAUAAGAAGCACUUGCCUCAACUAGGAAUGCAGAAAGAAAUGGAACAGGAUGUGAAGAGAUUUGGCCAGGCUGCCUGGGCCACAGCAAUUCCCAGGUUGGAAAAACUUAAGCUAAUGCUAGCUCAAGAGACUCUGCAACUCAUGAGAGCGAAAGAGUUAUGUUUAAAUCACAAAAGAGCUGAAAUUCAGGGAAAGAUGAAAUUUAGAAUCAAGUUCAAAACAAAAAACUCUUUGGAAUUUUGAUUGUGAUUUUGCUUAAAAUUAGAGAUUACUUUGGGGAGAAUAGUGGUCUUUGCAAUUUUGAAUCUUCCUACCCAAGAACAUGAAAAACAGGAUGAAGUUGUCUAUUACGAUCCAUGUGAAAGUCCAGAGGAACUUAGUCAUUGACUGUGGUGGGGCUGCAGGACGAUAAGAAUUCGGAAGUGAAAGAACUCAGAAGGCAGUGCCAGCAGCUGGAGUCUAUUAAACGGGGCAGGAUCUGUGUCAAAAGAGCUUCUCUCCAGAGUAGAAAG
RNAcentral lists this long non-coding RNA (963 nucleotides) under Homo sapiens (human). Its description in RNAcentral is "non-protein coding lnc-NIPA1-1:9". The record is from RNAcentral. Lineage: Eukaryota; Metazoa; Chordata; Mammalia; Primates; Hominidae.